CUCGGCUCGGAUCUACCUUCCAGUAGCAGCGGAGUGGCCAAUGGGACCGGGACCAGAGCCGGGGGCCGGAGGCCGCCGCCGCGGGGAGGUUCCCGGCCCAGGUGCCCAGCGCUCACCAGCCCGGCGGCGCCGCGGCGGCCCCGCAGCUGUUUCCUCGGGGGGGCGUGGCGUCGGGGGCCUUCGCGGCGCAGUCCUCUUUCAGCAUCCCGAACAGCAGCAGCGGCCCGUAGGACUCGCAGGACUCGGUGCACAGCAGCCCUGAGGAUGGCGGCGGCGGCCGGCACCGGCCGGUGGGCUGGAGCCCCGGCGGGCCGCUCCUGGUGAUCGGCUCCUUACCAGCUCACCUCUCACCGCGCAUGUUUGGAGGUGCUGAGAAACAUAAUGUCUGUUCCCCAAGAGCCAGCUAAUCAUUUUUACUAAGUACGAUAAUUGGCUGCCCUGAUUCAGAUAACAUAUCCUUAUUGUGACAUAGGGGUGACUAUUGUCAGAAAACCCUGAAAAUGUUUUAAAACAAGAACUAAUGGGGCUUGGCGAUUCUUGCCACGCUUUUCCAGAGCUCGGACCUUGCUAUUAUUUGCUACUAGACACCCACAAACCCUUGCUUGUUAAACUGAUCGCCUUCAAGACUCAAGAAAAGCGCCAUGCGGCUCCCUCCUAGGGCUC
Molecule: long non-coding RNA, 663 nt
Filed under: Homo sapiens (human)
Lineage: Eukaryota; Metazoa; Chordata; Mammalia; Primates; Hominidae
Description: non-protein coding lnc-SCRN1-1:2
Source: RNAcentral